Molecule: non-coding RNA, 862 nt
Filed under: Blumeria hordei DH14
Lineage: Eukaryota; Fungi; Ascomycota; Leotiomycetes; Helotiales; Erysiphaceae
Description: Blumeria graminis f. sp. hordei DH14 Eukaryotic large subunit ribosomal RNA
Rfam family: Eukaryotic large subunit ribosomal RNA
Source: Rfam by way of RNAcentral
UGACCUCGAAUCAGGUAGGGAUACCCGCUGAACUUAAGCAUAUCAAUAAGCGGAGGAAAAGAACCAACAGGGAUUACCUCAGUAACGGCGAGUGAAGCGGUAACAGCUCAAAUUUGAAAUCUGGUCCGGUUACGGGCCCGGAGUUGUAAUUUGUAGAAGAUGCUUUGGUAAUGAGUCCGGCCUAAGUUCCUUAGGAACAGGACGUCAUAGAGGGUGAGAACCCGUAUGCGGCCGAGUACUCAGUGCCAUGUAAAGCUCUUUCGACGAGUCGAGUUGUUUGGGAAUGCAGCUCAAAAUGGGUGGUAAAUUUCAUCUAAAGCUAAAUAUUGGCCAGAGACCGAUAGCGCACAAGUAGAGUGAUCGAAAGAUGAAAAGCACUUUGGAAAGAGAGUUAAACAGUACGUGAAAUUGUUGAAAGGGAAGCGCUUGCAACCAGACUUGGGCACUGUGGAUCAUCCGAGGUUCUCCUCGGUGCACUCGGCAGUGCGCAGGCCAGCAUCAGUUUGGGUGGUUGGAUAAAGACUUGUGGAAUGUAGCUCCUUUCGGGGAGUGUUAUAGCCACAGGUGCCAUGCGACCAACCCGGACUGAGGACCGCGCUUCGGCUAGGAUGCUGGCGUAAUGGUUGUAAGCGACCCGUCUUGAAACACGGACCAAGGAGUCUAACAUCUAUGCGAGUGUUUGGGUGUUAAACCCAUACGCGGAAUGAAAGUGAACGUAGGUGAGAACCUGUAAGGGGGCAUCAUCGACCGAUCCGGAUGUCUUCGGAUGGAUUUGAGUAAGAGCAUAGCUGUUGGGACCCGAAAGAUGGUGAACUAUGCCUGAAUAGGGUGAAGCCAGAGGAAACUCUGGUGGAGGCUCGCA